AGUGGCGGACGGGUGAGUAACACGUGAGCAACCUGCCUAUCAGAGGGGGAUAACGAUUGGAAACGAUCGCUAAUACCGCAUGACAUAGCGGAACCGCAUGGUUUUGUUAUCAAAGAUUUUAUCGCUGAUAGAUGGGCUCGCGUCCGAUUAGAUAGUUGGUGGGGUAACGGCCUACCAAGUCGACGAUCGGUAGCCGGACUGAGAGGUCGAACGGCCACAUUGGGACUGAGACACGGCCCAGACUCCUACGGGAGGCAGCAGUGGGGGAUAUUGCACAAUGGGGGAAACCCUGAUGCAGCGACGCCGCGUGAGGGAAGACGGUCCUCUGGAUUGUAAACCUCUGUCUUCGGGGACGAAACGAGACGGUACCCGAGGAGGAAGCCACGGCUAACUACGUGCCAGCAGCCGCGGUAAUACGUAGGUGGCAAGCGUUGUCCGGAAUUACUGGGUGUAAAGGGAGCGUAGGCGGGCAGGCAAGUCAGGCGUGAAAUAUAUCGGCUCAACCGGUAACGGCGCUUGAAACUGCAGGUCUUG
RNAcentral lists this ribosomal RNA (534 nucleotides) under uncultured bacterium. RNAcentral describes it as "bacterial SSU rRNA". It matches the Rfam family "Bacterial small subunit ribosomal RNA", at positions 94 to 644 of the family's 1533-position model. The record is from RNAcentral.